CUUAACCAUAGCAAUGUGCUCAAUUCCAUCUAUUAUUGACUUGAAGCAAUGGGCAGUAAAUGGGCCCCACAUAGUAGGUAUUCUUGCAGCAGAAGCAUGCUCUACCAACUGAUCUGUUUUCCUCCUAUAUCUGUAAAAGGAAGUAAUUGUCAGAUGAUGUAUUCUUGAACCACUAAAAGAAUGCUUGCUCUCAAGCAUUUGCUGGNAAUGGGAGUCAGAAUGGGGACUCUACCAGAAAUUGCCAAACCAUAACCCUUCAGUCCACUGUAUUUUGCAGGAUUGUUUGUCAUCAGCCUCAUAGUUCGAACACCAAGAUCCCUUAAGAUCUGCACAAGGAUGUCAUUUUAGUUUUUCUUUAAGACAACUAGAUUUACACAAAAAAUCACAGCAACAUCCAGAGAGAGCUUAUAUAGGAAGUGAGUACCUGUGCACCAACCCCAUACUCUCUUGAAUCAACAGGCAGACCAAGUUCUUCAUUAGCUUCAACAGUAUCACGUCCAGCAUCUUGUAAAUUAUAAGCACGAAGUUUGUGACCCAAACCAAUGCCUCUACCCUCAUGACCACGGAGGUAAACCAAAACCCCCCUGCCAGCAGCCUCAAUUUGUUGCAUUGCAAUUGCCAGCUGGUUUCCACAGUCACAUCUCGCUGAACCGAAUAUAUCUCCUGUGAGACAUUCCGAGUGUACCCGGACAAGAAUAUCUUGUCCGUCUCCUAUAUCUCCCUGGUCAUUCAACAAACUCAUCCCAAAUUAGUACCAAACACGAAAUGAACUAGUCAAGACGAAUGCUCCCAUACUAUGCAGUAAUAAAAUUCUCUACAAGGAUGCCAAAAGGUAAAGUGAUGUAAGAUACAGUAGUAAAAGUGCUUGUCCCCCCUUCCUCUUAAGAAAACGAUGGAACUUCAUGCUUCAAAUAGAGAAGACAUACGUAUAAAACCACACCUGAACUAUCCUUUUUUUUUUUAGUUUCAUACCUAAACUAUUGAGAGCGUGAAUUUCAUACCUAAACUAUCACUUAUUAGUCUGAAAAACACACUAAACUAGAAAUGUAUGUACAAUUUUGACUAGUCAAACCACUGCUGAAGAUAUAAGCGAGAAUAUCCCCAAAGUUGCUCACCUUAACCAUAGCAAUGUGCUCAAUUCCAUCUAUUAUUGACUUGAAGCAAUGGGCAGUAAAUGGGCCCCACAUAGUAGGUAUUCUUGCAGCAGAAGCAUGCUCUACCAACUGAUCUGUUUUCCUCCUAUAUCUGUAAAAGGAAGUAAUUGUCAGAUGAUGUAUUCUUGAACCACUAAAAGAAUGCUUGCUCUCAAGCAUUUGCUGGACAAAGCAAGGAUAAGGGAAGUCACAUCUACUGUGUUUUAAGAUAUUAAUGCAGCUAAAUGCAAAUGAAAUGGAAAAAAAAAAAAAAAAACACAUCAAAAGUAAUUUUCUUUCUUUUGAUCAAGUAACACUAAACUAGAAUAAAUAGGGAUGUGCAGGCAGACACAAUUUAGUAAAAGAGCAGAUGCACCAACACAUGAAGAUAAAGUUUCUUCAAAGACUACUGUGUAUCUCCAAUCUCUUGUAGUUUGGUUGUUCAGUCACUGAAAGACUUCUCUCACCAUUGAUUCUAUGAUGCGCAAUGAUACAAGCCUAAGUCUAUCUUCAUCCUUAGAAGUGAGAACUAAGCUUACAGUUUUCGGGGAUAAGUAAGCUUACACAAUAUAAGGAAAUCAUUCACUUAAAUGGGAGGGGGGGUUCUCUUGAGAAAUAAGGGGGAUGGACUUUUGCGCAAUCUCCCAAAUUAACUGCCUGGUAUGCAGUAAAGACAAAAGAUAGAAAAAUAGAUCCAGUCAGAAAAGGAAGCCUCACUUUAGAACCAUCAGAAGUAUUUAUCAACAUGUCAAAGGAUGAUAAAACAAUAAACCACGAAGGAAUUUAUUCAGCAACCAACUCUUAAAGAAAUCAGAAGCAGAUCUGUUAACCACCUGAUUAAGUCAGCAACUGAUAUGAUCUUCAAGUUAUGUUCUUUUGCAAAUUGACGAAGCAUAGGCAAUCUAGCCAUGGAACCAUCAUCAUCCACAACCUCACAUAUUACUCCAACAGGGUCUAAGCCAGCUAACAUGGCAAGAUCC
RNAcentral lists this long non-coding RNA (2113 nucleotides) under Solanum pimpinellifolium. RNAcentral describes it as "long non-coding RNA (SPIM_LNC000013)". The record is from RNAcentral. Lineage: Eukaryota; Viridiplantae; Streptophyta; Magnoliopsida; Solanales; Solanaceae.